UACGGGAGGCAGCAGUGGGGAAUAUUGCACAAUGGGCGCAAGCCUGAUGCAGCCAUGCCGCGUGUAUGAAGAAGGCCUUCGGGUUGUAAAGUACUUUCAGUCGUGAGGAAGGUGUUAAGGUUAAUAACCUUAGCAAUUGACGUUAGCGACAGAAGAAGCACCGGCUAACUCCGUGCCAGCAGCCGCGGUAAUACGGAGGGUGCGAGCGUUAAUCGGAAUUACUGGGCGUAAAGGGCACGCAGGCGGUUAAUUAAGUUGGAUGUGAAAUCCCCGGGCUUAACCUGGGAAUGGCAUUCAAGACUGGUUAGCUAGAGUCUUGUAGAGGGGGUAGAAUUCCAUGUGUAGCGGUGAAAUGCGUAGAGAUGUGGAGGAAUACCGGUGGGCGAAGGCGGGCCCCUGGGACAAAGACUGACGCUCAUGUGCGAAAGCGUGGGGAGCAAACAGGGAUUAGAUACC
Molecule: ribosomal RNA, 456 nt
Filed under: uncultured bacterium
Lineage: Bacteria
Description: bacterial SSU rRNA
Rfam family: Bacterial small subunit ribosomal RNA
Source: RNAcentral